Rattus norvegicus (Norway rat) is the source of this 577-nucleotide long non-coding RNA. RefSeq lists it as uncharacterized. The record is from RefSeq and is a predicted model, not a curated record. NCBI's taxonomy places the organism in Eukaryota, Metazoa, Chordata, Mammalia, Rodentia, Muridae.
GAGGGCCACGUGUCUGCCUCUGUGUGUAUGUGUGUGUGCCACGCGCGCCAACGGUGAAAAGUCUGUGGUGUGUGCCAUACCUGCAUGUACACAUAGGGAAAGGAUGAUGUGUGCACACCUGUGUAUAUCCAUAGUCUCGCUAUACAGACACGUGUGUAUUCAUGGAGUAUGAGUCGUGUGUGUGCAUGCCUGGACGUAUAUAUAGAAGAGAACCCUCUGUGCAUACAAAUAUGGAUACCUAUGUUUAAUGCCUGCACACUGAAAAGAAUAGGGAGUGUUCGCUGGAGACCCUGCCCUGUCUUGGAGGAGGACCUCUGUGAGUUAAGAACAAAGCCGUUCUUAUGGACAAGGUGUCUGCAGAGGUCAGAAGAGGGUCUGCAGUCCCUGGAGCUGCAGUUACAACUGGGAGCCACCUAGGGGCGAUCUAGCUCUCUGGGAAAACAAGCGCUCUUAUCCAAUGAGCCGUCUCUGCAGCUCCCGUAUCCCUUACUUUCCAAAAGCAGCUUUGCCAACUUCAGAAUUCUUGAUUGGCAAGGUUUAUUUUUAUUUCUUUCAGAAUUAAAGUGUUCCGCCCUAC